GCUGGAUUAGCUCAGCUGGUUAGAGCGUGUGGCUGUUAACCACAAGAUCUGAGAUUCGACCCCUCCUUUUAGCG
This 74-nucleotide transfer RNA is filed under the name Marchantia polymorpha subsp. ruderalis. It matches the Rfam family "tRNA". Rfam says of the family: Transfer RNA (tRNA) molecules are approximately 80 nucleotides in length. Their secondary structure includes four short double-helical elements and three loops (D, anti-codon, and T loops). Further hydrogen bonds mediate the characteristic L-shaped molecular structure. tRNAs have two regions of fundamental functional importance: the anti-codon, which is responsible for specific mRNA codon recognition, and the 3' end, to which the tRNAs corresponding amino acid is attached (by aminoacyl-tRNA synthetases). tRNAs cope with the degeneracy of the genetic code in two manners: having more than one tRNA (with a specific anti-codon) for a particular amino acid; and 'wobble' base-pairing, i.e. permitting non-standard base-pairing at the 3rd anti-codon position. The record is from Rfam by way of RNAcentral. Lineage: Eukaryota; Viridiplantae; Streptophyta; Marchantiopsida; Marchantiales; Marchantiaceae.